GACGAACGCUGGCGGCGUGCCUAAUACAUGCAAGUCGAGCGAAUCACUGGGAGCUUGCUCCCGGUGGUUAGCGGCGGACGGGUGAGUAACACGUGGGCAACCUGCCUGUAAGACUGGGAUAACACCGGGAAACCGGUGCUAAUACCGGAUAAUCCUUUUCCUCUCAUGAGGAAAAGCUGAAAGUCGGUUUCGGCUGACACUUACAGAUGGGCCCGCGGCGCAUUAGCUAGUUGGUGAGGUAACGGCUCACCAAGGCGACGAUGCGUAGCCGACCUGGGAGGGUGAUCGGCCACACUGGGACUGAGACACGGCCCAGACUCCUACGGGAGGCAGCAGUAGGGAAUCUUCCACAAUGGACGAAAGUCUGAUGGAGCAACGCCGCGUGAGCGAUGAAGGCCUUCGGGUCGUAAAGCUCUGUUGUUAGGAAAGAACAAGUACCGGAGUAACUGCCGGUACCUUGACGGUACCUAACCAGAAAGCCACGGCUAACUACGUGCCAGCCGCCGCCGUAA
RNAcentral lists this ribosomal RNA (512 nucleotides) under uncultured bacterium. RNAcentral's name for it is "partial 16S ribosomal RNA". It matches the Rfam family "Bacterial small subunit ribosomal RNA", at positions 28 to 523 of the family's 1533-position model. The record is from RNAcentral.